Molecule: ribosomal RNA, 512 nt
Filed under: uncultured bacterium
Lineage: Bacteria
Description: partial 16S ribosomal RNA
Source: RNAcentral
GGAGUUAGCCGGUGCUUCUUCUGCGAGUAACGUCACAGAUGUAAGGUAUUAACUUACACCCUUUCCUCCUCGCUGAAAGUGCUUUACAACCCGAAGGCCUUCUUCACACACGCGGCAUGGCUGCAUCAGGGUUUCCCCCAUUGUGCAAUAUUCCCCACUGCUGCCUCCCGUAGGAGUCUGGGCCGUGUCUCAGUCCCAGUGUGGCUGAUCAUCCUCUCAGACCAGCUAGGGAUCGUCGCCUAGGUGAGCCUUUACCUCACCUACUAGCUAAUCCCACCUGGGCUUAUCCAUCAGCGCAAGGCCCGAAGGUCCCCUGCUUUCCCCCGUAGGGCGUAUGCGGUAUUAGCAGUCGUUUCCAACUGUUACUCCCCCACAAAUGGGCAAAUUCCCAGGCAUUACUCACCCGUCCGCCGCUCGUCAUCUUCAAAGCAAGCUUUUAGAAAUGUUACCGCUCGACUUGCAUGUGUUAGGCCUGCCGCCAGCGUUCAAUCUGAGCCAUAAUCAAACUCUGA